This 439-nucleotide ribosomal RNA is filed under the name uncultured bacterium. RNAcentral's name for it is "partial 16S ribosomal RNA". It matches the Rfam family "Bacterial small subunit ribosomal RNA", at positions 339 to 795 of the family's 1533-position model. The record is from RNAcentral.
CUACGGGUCGCAGCAGUGGGGAAUAUUGGACAAUGGGCGCAAGCCUGAUCCAGCAAUGCCGCGUGAGUGAAGACGGCCUUAGGGUUGUAAAACUCUUUCGCUAGGGAAGAUAAUGACUGUACCUAGUAAAGAAGUCCCGGCUAACUCCGUGCCAGCAGCCGCGGUAAUACGGAGGGGACUAGCGUUGUUCGGAACUACUGGGCGUAAAGAGUUCGUAGGCGGACUGACAAGUUAGAGGUGAAAUCCCAGGGCUCAACCCUGGAACUGCCUUUAAAACUGUCAGUCUAGAGACCGGAAGAGGUUAGGGGAAUACCUAGUGUAGAGGUGAAAUUCGUAGAUAUUAGGUGGAACACCAGUGGCGAAGGCGCCUAACUGGUCCGGUGCUGACGCUGAGGAACGAAAGCGUGGGGAGCAAACAGGAUUAGAUACCCGCGUAGUC